This 252-nucleotide ribosomal RNA is filed under the name uncultured bacterium. Its description in RNAcentral is "partial 16S ribosomal RNA". It matches the Rfam family "Bacterial small subunit ribosomal RNA", at positions 524 to 776 of the family's 1533-position model. The record is from RNAcentral.
UACGUAAGGUCCGAGCGUUGUCCGGAAUCAUUGGGCGUAAAGGGUACGUAGGCGGUUAGAAAAGUUAGAAGUGAAAGGCUAUAGCUCAACUAUAGUAAGCUUUUAAAACUGUUUAACUUGAGAGAUGGAAGGGAAAGUGGAAUUCCUAGUGUAGCGGUGAAAUGCGUAGAUAUUAGGAGGAAUACCAAUGGCGAAGGCAGCUUUCUGGCCAUAAACUGACGCUGAGGUACGAAAGCGUGGGUAGCAAACAGG